CCGGCGCCGUCCGCCCCGAGAAGGCCCCCCCACGCUCCGAGCACAGCCCCUCCCGGAGAACGUCACUCCGGAGGACGCCCGCCCCCUUCCUCGCUGGGAUUGCCCCUAGGGUGUCCCCCCAGGAACCCCCCUACACGAUAUCCCUUCCCUUUGGGAGAAGACGCCUCCCCCAGGAUGCCCUCUGGAGUAUACCGGCUCUACAGGUAUGUCCCUGGAGGAUGCUCAUCCCAGAGAAUCACCCCAGAAUGCCCCUGAGGACAACCUCCCCCCAGAGGAAGACGCCUACCUGCUGGAAACCCCCUCCUCCAGAAUAUCCCUCUUCCCAGAGGAUGUUCUCCUGGAGGAAGUCUACCCACCCCCUGGAGGAUGCCCACAGGAGGAUGUCCCUCCACAGGGCUGACCCCAGGAGCAUAACCCCUGGGAGCUGUCCUCCCCAGAAGGGAGGCCCCCCCAGGAUGCGCCCACGCGGGAUGCCCUCCAGGUGUAGGCUGGGGCUGUGGUCUCAUGAGAGGCUCCUCUGGAGAGCAGUCUGCUUCCACGGUCCCCCAGACUGUGGGCAGAAGUCAUUCUCGGGCGGUGGGACACGGAUCCUCGUGUCCCUUCACAGACGGUUCACAACUGGGCAGUUUGCUUCCAUAAGGCCAGCAGGAGGGUCUCUUUCCAGUGUGCCGGGAGUCGUCUGCACCGUCACCGUGGGCCUGGCCUCUGCCCCUUUGCCACAUCCUAUCAGCGGUAAGUGACCUCCCACAGAUUCCCUUAAUCUGUGCCCUCACAUCUGCUGGUGGCCGCAGGAGUUCCAGCAAAGUUGGAGACCCGCCCCUCAACAUGCAACUUGGGAGUGGCCCGCCCAGGUAGUAUUUGGACUCUGUGACCACUGUGCACCUUCAGUGUUUCACAGCAUUUUCGCUAAAACCAAAGUCUGGCCUUCUGACGGAUCUAGCCAGGAGGGUAACUCCCGGGGUCGACGGGGUAGAGGGUGAAGGCCAAACCCAGCCCCCUGGGGUCGCUGACCUCUCCCAGCCCCGCCAGCGGCCCCUGGGCCUCAGGGCUGCCUGUGACAGCUGAGAGGGAGCACAACCUUCCGGCCUUGGCUGUGGGCACAGCUGAGGGCCCUUCUUGAUGCGGGCCGUCCUCAUCCAUUCUCCGGGUACAGUCUCACCUGGCUGGAGCCUGUGUACACACGACCUCACUCUCUAAGAGGACGGAGGUGCCCCCCCCCCCGGAACGGACAUCUGGGCAUUUCUGUAAAAGGUGGCCCCGCGAGGCCCCGGCCAGGACACCGGGCAGAUGACACCGGGAGGCCCUGACGCAGGUGUCCGCGUGUCCGGGGCGGAAUGCAGGGGUUUGGCUGCUCUGAGGGGCACUGCGGUGGGGAGGCUGUGCCUCUCCACGGGCCGAGCGGCAAGCCUCCCCGCCGCUGCCUCCCACCAGGGCGGGGGGCGACGGACCCUCCCAGACGCUGCCCGACUUCCGCUCGACAAGGAAGAGUCACCCCGAACCGCACCUCCGGCUGCUUUUGUGCAGUUUGCCUGGGGCUCCGCAGGGCGCGUUAACCCGGGAGCCCAGAUUUCUGCUGCAGAAGAAGUCUUGUGCUGUUUCCUCCCCUCUGCAGCCUGGGGAUGCCCGCUGUGGGCUCAGGGCUCUGGACAGCUGGCCGCCCAGGCUGGGGAGGGGCUGAG
This is a long non-coding RNA of Felis catus (domestic cat), 1679 nucleotides long. RefSeq lists it as uncharacterized. The transcript has 3 exons. The record is from RefSeq and is a predicted model, not a curated record. Lineage: Eukaryota; Metazoa; Chordata; Mammalia; Carnivora; Felidae.